GUGACAGCCAGGAAACCGAGAACGGAAUGCCAAUACUGCUUAGGCUUAGAGUUUGAAAGGCAUCUGAUUUCACUGCCAUGUCUUUGAACAGCAGUGCACAGUGCAGUCUUCUUCGUGGCUGAACAGGUAUCUUGUGAUCUUUAGGGAAUGUCUAUUAAUUCAUUAAACAAGUAUUUCUGUGUUUAUUGAAGGACGUCUUGUAUGCUAUACAUUUGCUAGGCACUGGGGAUACGCCCCUAACACAGCUAGACACGAUAGCUGCCCUCAUAGAAUUUUCAGUCUAACAAAGAAGAGGGAGAAAACCAACAAGUAAGCAAGCACAUAGAAUAGUAAUUAAUCAUGUCAAGGAAAGAAAUAGGCAUGGUGUGGACACUGGAGGAUAACUUCAGAUAAGAUUGUUAUAUGAGAACUUUAUAAGAUGGCAUUUAAACCAUCAGUCAUUCAGCCAUGGAACCAAUAAAAUGAUGAAUUGUUUUGGGCAGAGGGGACAGCAGACAAAGGUCUCUCGGUGAGACAGCCCGGCGUUUUGGAAGAACAGAAAGAAAGCCAAAGUGUCUCCAGCAUAUUGAGGGAGGGAAAGAACAGCAUGAUGUGAGAGAGAUGAGGCAGACAGGGGCUUGGAGUUGGCAUUACAUUUUAAAUUUAAUGGGCUUCUAUUGAGGCAUUCGAAAAAAAGAAGUGAAAGGGUCUGGGUUUAGACUUUACAUCACUUUGGUUAGUGUGCAAAGAACAGUUAAAAUAAGCUAUUGGGAAACUGAUUAGGAGAUGAUGACAGAUGAAAUUUAAGGUGGAAGAUGACUUUGAUUAAACUAUGACAAUAUCACUGAAGGGAGAGAAGAGCAGAGAGAUUAGAGAUUUUAAAGAUAAAUAAUUAACUUGAUUUGGCAUUUUAGUUAUUCUAGGCCAGGGACAACUGUUUUGAAUCCAGUGCAUUUAAUAACCAGGUUAGAGAGUGACUCUCAUAUUGACGGCUCACAAAUUAUAGUAAUAACCUUGAGUAAUAUUAUGUUGAGUUGAUGUCUUUUCAUAGACUUCCUGGAUUUUUUUUUCUUUUGUCUUUCUUUCUUUUUUUUUUUUUUUUUUUUUUUUUUUUGAGACAGGGUUUUACUCCUGCCCAGGCUGGAGUGCAGUGGCGCUAUCUGAGCUCACUGAAACCUCUGCUUCCCAGGCUCAAGUGAUCCUCCCACUUCAGCCUCCCAAGUAGCUGUGACUACAGGCACGCUCAACCAUACACAGCUAAUGUUUAUAUUUUUUGUAGAGAUGGGGCUUCCCCAUGUUGCCCAGGCUGGUCUUGAACUCCUGAACUCAAGCAAUCCACCCACCUCAGCCUCCCAAAGUGCUGGGAUUACAGGCAUGAGCCACUGUACCUGGCGUGGAAUUUAAAAAAAUAAUAAUUUUAUUGAAACAUGUGUCUUAAAAAGUGCACAUAUCCUAAGUGUAGACAGCUCAAUGAAUUUUCACAGUCUGCAGACACCUUUGUAUCCAGCACCCAGAUCAAGGAACAAAACAUUAUUAAUACCUGGGAACCCCAUCAACCUGCCUUCCAGGCACUGCCUUCUUCCAAGGGGAGUUUCUAUGCUGACUUUCAACAGCAUAGGUAGUUUUGCCUAUCUUUAUACUUGUUAUAUAUAAAGCCAUAAAGUAUGUGUUCUUUUGUUUCUGGCUACUUGGACUCAACAUUACACUUGUGAGAUUCUUCCAUAUUGUUGUAUGCAGUUGUAGAUCAUUCAUUUUGUUUUCCAUUCUGUGGAUAUACUGUAAUUUAUGAAUUCAUUCUUCUGAUGGACAUUAGGGCAGUUUGCCAUUUAGAGCCAUUAUAGAUAGUGCUACUAUGAGCAUUCUACUACAUAUCUGUUGGUGAUGGCUUUCAUUUGAUGGAGUAUUUUGGUAGCUAAGUUACUAUUAAGUUUUUAAAAAUCUGCUCAUCAAUAAUGUAGUAUCAUGUGUUGCAAUAUCUCAAUCAUUUGGAUCAAAAUUUGGUGCAGAUAAUGAGGACUUUGCUUUCACAAAUGUGAAAAAUUUUGGUAACAAGAAAGAUGUGGGAAAUUUUAAGCUUGGAAGUGUAAAAUAUUUUGAAUUGUCCUGGAGUUUUGACCUUUUUUAUAACCACUUGCAUGCCCAGCAUCUGAGAACAUCAUGACUUUGCUAAAUCCUUGUACCAAAACAGACUGGAAUCCAGAGUCACAUGAUAAGCAAAGCCACUUAGGCUGUUCUGAAGAAUAUCUUUGAUACUAAAACAGUCCUUGAAAUUGCCUUUGAAAAUCACACCAUUUCACACUCUACCACAGCUCAUUAAAAUUAAAGCCAGCAGUUUACUUCUUUUGAAUUAUAUGCUUCUGGGUUUUGAAUCUCUGAAGCAUAGCUAAAUACACCACAAAAAUAAUUCAUGGCCAGCACAGUGGUUCAUGCCUGUAAUCCCAGCACUUUGAGAGGCCAAGGCUGCCAAUCACUUGAGCUGGGAGUUCAAGACUAGCCUGAGCAACAUGUCAAAACCAUGGUCUCUACAAAAAAAUACAAAAAUGAGCCAGGCAUGGUGGCGCAUACCUGUGAUCCCAGCUACUCGGGAGGCUGAGGUGGGAGGAUCACCUGAGCCCAGGAGGUCCAGGCUGCAGUGAACCAUGAUCUCACCACUGUACUCUAGCCUAGGUGACAGCACUUUGGGAGGCCGAGGCGGGUGGAUCACAAGGUUAGGA
RNAcentral lists this long non-coding RNA (2693 nucleotides) under Homo sapiens (human). RNAcentral's name for it is "non-protein coding lnc-HERC6-2:7". The record is from RNAcentral. Lineage: Eukaryota; Metazoa; Chordata; Mammalia; Primates; Hominidae.